This 708-nucleotide ribosomal RNA is filed under the name uncultured fungus. Its description in RNAcentral is "SSU rRNA". It matches the Rfam family "Eukaryotic small subunit ribosomal RNA", at positions 390 to 1099 of the family's 1831-position model. The record is from RNAcentral. Lineage: Eukaryota; Fungi.
GGGAGCCUGAGAAACGGCUACCACAUCCAAGGAUGGCAGCAGGCGCGCAAAUUACCCAAUCCCGACACGGGGAGGUAGUGACAAUAAAUAACAAUACGGGGUUCUUUAGGAUCUCGUAAUUGGAAUGAGUACAAUUUAAAUCUCUUAACGAGGAACAAUUGGAGGGCAAGUCUGGUGCCAGCAGCCGCGGUAAUUCCAGCUCCAAUAGCGUAUAUUAAAGUUGUUGCAGUUAAAAAGCUCGUAGUUGAAUUUCGGGGUUAGUAGGUUGGUCAUGCCUCUGGUAUGUACUGGUCUCACUGAUUCCUCCUUCCUUAUGAACCGUAAUGCCAUUAAUUUGGUGUUGCGGGGAAUUUGGACUGUUACUUUGAAAAAAUUAGAGUGUUUAAAGCAAGCUAACGCUUGAAUACAUUAGCAUGGAAUAAUGAAAUAGGACGUUCGAUCUUAUUUUGUUGGUUUCUAGGAUUGACGUAAUGAUUAAUAGGGAUAGUUGGGGGCAUUAGUAUUCAAUUGUCAGAGGUGAAAUUCUUGGAUUUAUUGAAGACUAACUACUGCGAAAGCAUUUGCCAAGGAUGUUUUCAUUAAUCAUGAACGAAAGUUAGGGGAUCGAAGACGAUCAGAUACCGUCGUAGUCUUAACCAUAAACUAUGCCGACUAGGGAUCGGAUGAUGUUAAUUUUUUAAUGACUCAUUCGGCGCCUUACGGGAAACC